UAAGGAUUCAAACUUUGCUAUGCUCCUAUGCUAUCCCCUAUUGUUAUGCUCAAUUAAGUCCUGGACUGAAUAAACCAUUGUUAGGCUCCAGUGCACUCUCCCUGGCUUAACAGGUGUAACAUUUUUGCAUUGGGUGUGUUGCCUUACCAAGCACUAAGGCUUCACUAUCUGCUCAGAAGUCAAACAGGGAGGACCUAUGGGUCAUUGGUUCAGAAAUGCUAUUAGAAAAUUGAAGUUUUAGACUUGGAUUUAGGGCAGAUAGCGCUGCAUUUUCAAUUUUAAGCAUCAAGAACAUGACUGCUGAGAAUUGAGGCCUUCCUGAUGAUUUCCUGCCUUUAGUCACAGACGUCAAACUAUGGGUUCUGAUUCUGGUUCUGAUUCUGAUUCUGGUUCCGAUUCCGGUUCCGAUUCCACUCGUGGUUCCACUGGUCGUUCCACUGGUUAUUCCAAUUCUGGUUCUGAGUUUGGUUCCAACCGCCAUUCCAGUAGCCGUUCCGGUCCCAUCUUCGGAUCCACCAUGAUUAUGACUGUCAAAUCCCGCAAUGGACAAGAUUUGUAAAGAGAGUCUGAGGGAAGGCAGUUCCGUCGACAGAUGAUGUAAUUAUGUAACGAUUCGUCAGUAUCAAUGAACAUUGAACUGGAGUGAUUAUAUCACCUUAUAACGUGGGUUACUUUGUAUGUUAUUCCAAAGACUUUUAUCUUAUGUUAUUUGUACUCAGAAACAAAGCCAUUGAAUCAUUGUUCUACAAGAACCUGAAUACAGUUUUAAUAAAUUCUUUAAACUGUA
This is a long non-coding RNA of Lytechinus variegatus (green sea urchin), 787 nucleotides long. RefSeq lists it as uncharacterized. NCBI's taxonomy places the organism in Eukaryota, Metazoa, Echinodermata, Echinoidea, Temnopleuroida, Toxopneustidae. The transcript is spliced from 2 exons. The record is from RefSeq and is a predicted model, not a curated record.